Molecule: ribosomal RNA, 792 nt
Filed under: Triticum aestivum (bread wheat)
Lineage: Eukaryota; Viridiplantae; Streptophyta; Magnoliopsida; Poales; Poaceae
Description: partial small subunit ribosomal RNA
Source: RNAcentral
AUGGCCGGUCGAGCAGGAGCAGCAACGUCACCUCCUGCUUCGUCACCGCCGGGCAAGCAGUUCGCGGAAGUGGUGGUGGUGCGACACGGCGAGACGUCGUGGAACGCCACCCGCACCAUCCAGGUAUGUCCACUUACCUCCUCCACCUCCACCUCCACCAUCGAUCUUCUCCGGCUGACACAGCCAUUUCCCCAAAUCUCGUCUUCGCAGGGGCAGAUGGAUCCGGAGCUGAACGAGACCGGCAGACGACAGGCUCUCGUGGUUGCCCGUCGGCUGUCGAGGGAAGCCAAGCCAGCUGCCGUGUACUCCUCCGACCUCAAGCGCGCCGCCGAGACCGCGCAAACCAUAGCCACAGCCUGCGGCGUAUCCUCUCUGGUGCUGGAUCCAGCGCUGAGGGAGAGGCACAUGGGAGAUCUCCACGGCUUGGUGUUUGACGACGCCGUCAGAAGGAAUCCUGAGAUCUUCUCUUCUUACUCGAGAACCCAAGAAAUCCCCGGUGGUGGGGAGAGCCUCGAUCAGUUAUCCAAGAGGUGUGUCUCGUACCUGAACACAGUAGCUGAGAAGCACAAGUGGGAGCGGGUGAUCGUGGUCACCCAUGGCGCCAGCACGGAGGAGCUGUGCAUACACGCCGACCCGACCAGCCCUGUGCGCGGGAAGCUCUACAACACUUCGAUCUGCGUCUUCCGUAUCGGCGGCGGCGAAUGGAUCCUCGAGAAGACCGGCGACGUCGGCCAUCUCGAUCAAGGUGAAUUCCUUGAGGACGCAUUUGGCGGCGAUGGCGUGUCUGCGUGA